UAAGGAAUAUUGGUCAAUGGGCGCAAGCCUGAACCAGCCAUGCCGCGUGCAGGAUGAAGCAUCUAUGGUGUGUAAACUGCUUUUGUGCGGGAAGAAACCACCCCUCGUGAGGGGUAUUGACGGUACCGUAAGAAUAAGGAUCGGCUAACUCCGUGCCAGCAGCCGCGGUAAUACGGAGGAUCCAAGCGUUAUCCGGAAUCAUUGGGUUUAAAGGGUCCGUAGGCGGUUUAAUAAGUCAGUGGUGAAAGCCCAUCGCUCAACGAUGGAACGGCCAUUGAUACUGUUAGACUUGAAUUACAAGGAAGUAACUAGAAUAUGUAGUGUAGCGGUGAAAUGCUUAGAUAUUACAUGGAAUACCAAUUGCGAAGGCAGGUUACUACUAAUGGAUUGACGCUGAUGGACGAAAGCGUGGGGAGCGAACA
Molecule: ribosomal RNA, 422 nt
Filed under: uncultured bacterium
Lineage: Bacteria
Description: bacterial SSU rRNA
Rfam family: Bacterial small subunit ribosomal RNA
Source: RNAcentral